GCCAAUGUGGUCUAGUGGUUUUUUGAGCGUUUGACUACGACUCUGGAGACCAGGGUUCAAAUCCCAGCACAGCCU
This is a non-coding RNA of Phrynosoma platyrhinos (Desert horned lizard), 75 nucleotides long. Lineage: Eukaryota; Metazoa; Chordata; Lepidosauria; Squamata; Phrynosomatidae. The record is from the annotation of a GenBank genome assembly.